UAGGGAAUCUUCGGCAAUGGACGAAAGUCUGACCGAGCAACGCCGCGUGAGUGAAGAAGGUUUUCGGAUCGUAAAACUCUGUUGUUAGAGAAGAACAAGGACGUUAGUAACUGAACGUCCCCUGACGGUAUCUAACCAGAAAGCCACGGCUAACUACGUGCCAGCAGCCGCGGUAAUACGUAGGUGGCAACCGUUGUCCGGAUUUAUUGGGCGUAAAGCGAGCGCAGGCGGUUUCUUAAGUCUGAUGUGAAAGCCCCCGGCUCAACCGGGGAGGGUCAUUGGAAACUGGGAGACUUGAGUGCAGAAGAGGAGAGUGGAAUUCCAUGUGUAGCGGUGAAAUGCGUAGAUAUAUGGAGGAACACCAGUGGCGAAGGCGGCUCUCUGGUCUGUAACUGACGCUGAGGCUCGAAAGCGUGGGGAGCAAACAGG
This 429-nucleotide ribosomal RNA is filed under the name Gemmatimonadota bacterium. RNAcentral's name for it is "Gemmatimonadetes bacterium partial 16S ribosomal RNA". It matches the Rfam family "Bacterial small subunit ribosomal RNA", at positions 355 to 776 of the family's 1533-position model. The record is from RNAcentral. Lineage: Bacteria; Pseudomonadati; Gemmatimonadota.